This 586-nucleotide ribosomal RNA is filed under the name uncultured bacterium. Its description in RNAcentral is "bacterial SSU rRNA". It matches the Rfam family "Bacterial small subunit ribosomal RNA", at positions 339 to 916 of the family's 1533-position model. The record is from RNAcentral.
CCUCGGGAGGCAGCAGUGGGGAAUUUUGGACAAUGGGGGAAACCCUGAUCCAGCCAUCCCGCGUGAGUGAAGAAGGCCUUCGGGUUGUAAAGCUCUUUCGAAAGUGAAGAAAACUUAUUUCGUAAUAUGUUAUAAGUAUGACGGUAACUUUAGAAGAAGCACCGGCUAACUACGUGCCAGCAGCCGCGGUAAUACGUAGGGUGCGAGCGUUAAUCGGAAUUACUGGGCGUAAAGCGUGCGCAGGCGGUUUUGUAAGUCAGAUGUGAAAUCCCCGAGCUUAACUUGGGAACUGCGUUUGAAACUACAAGACUAGAGUGUGUCAGAGGGGGGUAGAAUUCCACGUGUAGCAGUGAAAUGCGUAGAGAUGUGGAGGAAUACCAAUGGCGAAGGCAGCCCCCUGGGAUAACACUGACGCUCAUGCACGAAAGCGUGGGGAGCGAACAGGAUUAGAUACCCUGGUAGUCCACGCCCUAAACGAUGUCAACUAGUUGUUGGUGGAGUAAGAUCCAUGAGUAACGUAGCUAACGCGUGAAGUUGACCGCCUGGGGAGUACGGUCGCAAGAUUAAAACUCAAAGGAAUUGACGG